This 274-nucleotide ribosomal RNA is filed under the name uncultured bacterium. RNAcentral describes it as "partial 16S ribosomal RNA". It matches the Rfam family "Bacterial small subunit ribosomal RNA", at positions 523 to 796 of the family's 1533-position model. The record is from RNAcentral.
AUACAGAGGGCGCGAGCGUUAAUCGGAAUUACUGGGCGUAAAGCGCGCGUAGGCGGCUUAUUAAGUCAGAUGUGAAAUCCCCGGGCUCAACCUGGGAACUGCAUCUGAUACUGGUAAGCUAGAGUUUUGGAGAGGGAAGUAGAAUUUCAGGUGUAGCGGUGAAAUGCAUAGAGAUCUGAAGGAAUACCAGUGGCGAAGGCGACUUCCUGGCCAAAAACUGACGCUGAGGUGCGAAAGCGUGGGUAGCAAACGGGAUUAGAAACCCCGGUAGUCC